GAAAGGUGAGGCACGCGCGUCAAGGAUGAGAUGGUAGUGGAACUGGCGACGACGCCGAUGGUGGGGGAAAUGGCAAAUAAAUAAGGAGUUCCUCACCUUCCAAGGGAAGUUGCGCCAACUUCCCUAGGAAGCUAGGCAACCGGUGCCUCUUGGGGAUGGAAACUGGCUCCUCGAAGAACGUGCGGGAACAGGAACCGGUACGGCAACCGCCAGAGGCCGUGGCAUCAAAUAGUUGAUCUGAAUCAUCGAUGUGCAGAUGAACAGCUACGAGGAGUAGGC
This 279-nucleotide long non-coding RNA is filed under the name Setaria viridis. RNAcentral's name for it is "long non-coding RNA (SVIR_LNC000260)". Lineage: Eukaryota; Viridiplantae; Streptophyta; Magnoliopsida; Poales; Poaceae. The record is from RNAcentral.